Molecule: ribosomal RNA, 550 nt
Filed under: uncultured bacterium
Lineage: Bacteria
Description: bacterial SSU rRNA
Rfam family: Bacterial small subunit ribosomal RNA
Source: RNAcentral
GGGGAAUCUUCCGCAAUGGGCGAAAGCCUGACGGAGCAACGCCGCGUGAGUGAAGACGGCCUUCGGGUUGUAAAGCUCUGUUAUACGGGACGAAUAGUCUUGUGGUUAAUACCCAUGAGAAGUGACGGUACCGUAAGAGAAAGCCACGGCUAACUACGUGCCAGCAGCCGCGGUAAUACGUAGGUGGCAAGCGUUGUCCGGAAUUAUUGGGCGUAAAGGGCGCGCAGGCGGCUUCUUAAGUCUGUCUUAAAAGUGCGGGGCUUAACCCCGUGAUGGGAUGGAAACUGGGAAGCUCAGAGUAUCGGAGAGGAAAGCGGAAUUCCUAGUGUAGCGGUGAAAUGCGUAGAUAUUAGGAGGAACACCAGUGGCGAAAGCGGCUUUCUGGACGAAAACUGACGCUGAGGCGCGAAAGCCAGGGGAGCGAACGGGAUUAGAUACCCCGGUAGUCCUGGCCGUAAACGAUGGGUACUAGGUGUAGGAGGUAUCGACCCCUUCUGUGCCGGAGUUAACGCAAUAAGUACCCCGCCUGGGGAGUACGACCGCAAGGUUG